RNAcentral lists this ribosomal RNA (497 nucleotides) under uncultured bacterium. RNAcentral describes it as "partial 16S ribosomal RNA". It matches the Rfam family "Bacterial small subunit ribosomal RNA", at positions 28 to 507 of the family's 1533-position model. The record is from RNAcentral.
GAUGAACGCUGGCGGCGUGCCUAACACAUGCAAGUCGAGCGAACGGACGAGAAGCUUGCUUCUCUGCUGUUAGCGGCGGACGGGUGAGUAACACGUGGAUAACCUAUCUAUAAUACUGGGAUCACCUCGUGAAACCGGAGCUAAUACCGGCCAAUAUUUUGAACCGCAUGGUUCAAAAGUGAAAGACGGUCUUGCUGUCACUUAUAGAUGGAUCCGCGGUGAAUUAGCUAUUUGGUAAGGUAACGGCUUAACAAGGCGACGAUGCAUAAGCGACCUGAGAGGGUGAACGGCCACACGGGAAGUGAGACACGGUCCAGACUCCUACGGGAAGCAGCAGUAGGGAAUCUUACGCAAUGGACGAAAGCCUGACGGAGCAACGCCGCGUGAGUGAUGAAGGUCUUCGGAUCGUAAAACUCUGUUAUUAGGGAAGAAGAUAUGUGUAAGUAACUGUGAACAUCUUGACGGUACCUAAUCAGAAAGCCACGGCUAACUACGUG